This is a non-coding RNA of Oryza meridionalis, 196 nucleotides long. Lineage: Eukaryota; Viridiplantae; Streptophyta; Magnoliopsida; Poales; Poaceae. The record is from Rfam.
UUUAAGUGCAACCAUAAGUUUCCGUGUCCAACUUUGAUCGUCCGUCUUAUUUGAACUUUUUAGUAUUUUUAUUGUUAUGAGAUAAUAAAACAUGAAUAGUACUUUAUGCGUGACUUAUAUUUUUAAAUUUUUCAAAAAAAUUUCAAAUAAGACGGACAAUUAAAAUUGGGCACGGAAAAUCAUGGCUACACUUAAA